GAGUUUGAUCCUGGCUCAGGACAAACGCUGGCGGCGUGCAUAAAACAUGCAAGUCGAACGGACCGAUCCCCGCAAGGGGAGAGGUCAGUGGCGAACGGCUGAGUAACACGUAGGUGACCUGCCCCGAAGUGGGGGACAACUCGCCGAAAGGCGAGCUAAUACCGCAUGUGACCACCGGUUCGUUCCGGUGCUCAAAGCAGCAAUGCGCUUCGGGAGGGGCCUGCGGCGGAUUAGCUAGUUGGUGGGGUAAUGGCCUACCAAGGCCGCGAUCCGUAGCUGGUCUGAGAGGAUGACCAGCCAGACUGGGACUGAGACACGGCCCAGACUCCUACGGGAGGCAGCAGUUAGGAAUUUUGUGCAAUGGGGGAAACCCUGACACAGCCACGCCGCGUGCGGGAUGAAGGCCUUCGGGUCGUAAACCGCUUUUCUCGAGGAAGACACCCGACGGUACUCGAGGAAUAAGCAACGGCUAACUACGUGCCAGCAGCCGCGGUAAUACGUAGGUUGCGAGCGUUGUCCGGAUUUACUGGGUGUAAAGCGCGCGCAGGCGGUCUCGAAAGUCCACGGUGAAAGCUCCCGGCCCAACUGGGAGAGGCCCUUGGAAACUUCGGGACUUGAAGGCGGGAGAGGCAAAUGGAAUUUCCGGUGUAGCGGUAAAAUGCGUAGAUACCGGAAGGAACACCAGUGGCGAAGGCGAUUUGCUGGCCCGCACUUGACGCUCAGGCGCGAAAGCUAGGGUAGCGACCGGGAUUAGAUACCCCGUUAGUCCUAGCCGUAAACAAUGGUCACUAGGUGUUGUGGGUAUCGACCCCCGCAGUGCCNAANCUAACGCAUUAAGUGACCCACUGGGGAGUACGACCGCAAGGUNAAACUCAAAGGAUUGACGGGGGCCNCACANCAGCGANCGUGCGUUCAUUCGAUGNUACNNAAAACCUUACCAGCUUGANUGCAUNUGUACNAUCCAAGGUGAGGACCCCANGGACUGCCCAGUUUNCCGCCUCCCACUCUUCUGNAUUGGUUAAUCCCACAGGCACUUUNAAUUCCUCGNAUGCGGAUUUUGAUNCUUAAANGANAGGGGAANCAUC
This 1085-nucleotide ribosomal RNA is filed under the name uncultured bacterium. RNAcentral's name for it is "bacterial SSU rRNA". It matches the Rfam family "Bacterial small subunit ribosomal RNA", at positions 9 to 1047 of the family's 1533-position model. The record is from RNAcentral.